UGCCUGGGUUAUCUGCAGCUGGAGAUAGCCUGGGAACUGCAGCUGCCAAGGGGAAAAAUGUUCCACUGUGGGCAGCACCAAGCAUUCCUGGAUGUGCUCACAGGGAUUUUUUGGAGGCUUGUGGGACAUUUUUAAACAUGGCCCCACCAAGUCCUGUCACCUUCAGGCAUGCACAGCAGGAUUCCCAGGAGAAACUGGGGGUGAUGGAGGUGUUUUCACAAACUUUGCUAAGAGCACCUGGGCUGGAAAACUUACAGUGUCUGUCCCCUCUUUAAUGGGAAUAGUUCUCUGAGGGGGAAUUUAGGCAGCUGUGCCACAUCUCCCUCUGUCUGGGGAGGCAUAUCUGAUCGAUGAUGCAGCCCUGGAGACUCACUGCACCAAAGGCUCCACACUUCCCAUCCAAGUUUUCCAGCAGAAAGGGUGGAGACCACAGGACAAAGCAUCAGACAAGCAGAUGCAAUUUGCAAAACUGGAGGUGUUCUGCUUUUACCAUUUAUCCCUGCUCAGGUUGAACCAAGGCUUUCUCUUCUUGUGAAUAUCAAAAUAUACAAAAUAUAAGCCUGUAAUAAAGUCCAAGAUGAAAUUCA
Oenanthe melanoleuca is the source of this 587-nucleotide long non-coding RNA. RefSeq lists it as uncharacterized. NCBI's taxonomy places the organism in Eukaryota, Metazoa, Chordata, Aves, Passeriformes, Muscicapidae. The record is from RefSeq and is a predicted model, not a curated record. The transcript has 2 exons.